This 497-nucleotide ribosomal RNA is filed under the name uncultured bacterium. RNAcentral describes it as "partial 16S ribosomal RNA". It matches the Rfam family "Bacterial small subunit ribosomal RNA", at positions 28 to 507 of the family's 1533-position model. The record is from RNAcentral.
GAUGAACGCUGGCGGCGUGCCUAAUACAUGCAAGUCGAGCGAACAGACGAGGAGCUUGCUCCUCUGACGUUAGCGGCGGACGGGUGAGUAACACGUGGAUAACCUACCUAUAAGACUGGGAUAACUUCGGGAAACCGGAGCUAAUACCGGAUAAUAUAUUGAACCGCAUGGUUCAAUAGUGAAAGACGGUUUUGCUGUCACUUAUAGAUGGAUCCGCGCCGCAUUAGCUAGUUGGUAAGGUAACGGCUUACCAAGGCAACGAUGCGUAGCCGACCUGAGAGGGUGAUCGGCCACACGGGAAAUGAGACACGGUCAAGACUCAGACGGGAGGCAGCAGUAGGGAAUCUUCCGCAAGGGGCGAAAGCCUGAAGGAGCAACGCGGCGUGAGUGAUAAAGGUCUUGGGAGCGAAAAACUUUGUUAUGAGGGAAGAAAAAAUGUGAAAGUAAAUAGGCACGUCUGGACGGUACAUAAUAAGAAAGCCACGGCUAACUCCGUG